Non-coding RNA from Misgurnus anguillicaudatus (oriental weatherfish), 510 nucleotides. The record is from RefSeq and is a predicted model, not a curated record. NCBI's taxonomy places the organism in Eukaryota, Metazoa, Chordata, Actinopteri, Cypriniformes, Cobitidae.
GCGCAAAACUUUUGUUUGUAUAUAUAGACUUCAGACAGAAAUAAGUGCUGCAAACCGUUUGCGCGAUGCAAAGCCGCAAAAGAAAAAAAUUAUAGAGCUGUGAUGUGGAGAGGUGGAUCAGAACCACACGCGGACAGCAGGGAUUUAAGAUUUGAGGUGAGUAACUGUUACAGCUUGUUUAAUAUAGCUGCAUGCUUAUGUUUGGCUAUGAUCACAUUUAAAAUAUCAAAGUGUUGUCUACUGUGCUUAAAAGCUGUGUUUCUUGAUUUAAUUAUCGUUCAAAUAGAAUAGGACAGGCUUCGCAAAACAUGAUUUGGAGAGCGUUUGUCUUUGACCCUGCGAUUCUAUGCAACAGGUGACACGUUCAAGUUCAUCAGGUUCAAGUCCAGGAUGGGAGACCAGCACCAUCUCACAAAUAGUUUUGGAUGUUCUGCUCUGUACCAGGUUAUAAAGGACGAUUUCUUGAAGACACCAUCAACGGAAGGAGACUGGCAUACAAUAGCCAUGGAC